RNAcentral lists this long non-coding RNA (1779 nucleotides) under Citrus sinensis (sweet orange). Its description in RNAcentral is "long non-coding RNA (CSIN_LNC004500)". The record is from RNAcentral. Lineage: Eukaryota; Viridiplantae; Streptophyta; Magnoliopsida; Sapindales; Rutaceae.
UAUUAAAACUUUUGAGAGCCCAAGGGACCCCUGCUUUGCAACACGCAAUUCCAUUGCAGCUAUCAUCAUCUGUCUUGUUUCUUGGAUCACAAAUAGAGAAGCAACCACCAAGAAUGAAGUCAUGAUCAGCUGAUGACAUUGAGGCAAGGUUGUUGCAGCCGAUGCCGGAGAAUAUAUUGUCAUAAUAUGAGAAGUAAAAAGGGAGCUUCUCCAGGUUUACAAAACUUGGUUCUUUAGUUUUAUCCUGACAAGAUCUGAUCACUGAUUGAUUUACUCUCAUUGUGCUCUUUUCAAGUAAGAAUUCAAGCACUUCCAGGUUGAUGCUUCUCAGGAUUGGCUUACUGGAUUUGCAAUCUAUUGCAUAAAGUUGAUCAAAAUAGCAAUUUUCUCCAAUUCCGAAUGGAAAUGGAAUUGUAACAUUGUUUCCACAACUGUAUGGACAAUUUGGUUUUGUUAAAGGUGGUGGUGGUUCUUUAGCUACUGAUUUUAUUGGCCAUAGAAGCAGCAAUAUUAUAACUUGUAACAGCAACUGCAGAUUCAUUUUCAAUCUGCUGUCACGGUUGUUGCUACAAAGAGAAAAAGAGAGAGGGAGAGAUUUUAUCAGAGCAAAGCAGAGUAGUUUCUCUGCUGCUUCUUAGAUGCAGCAGUUCUUUAAUUUACAACCAAGUUGCGCAGAACAAAAAAAAAAAAAAAAACUUUUAUUAAUUUUAUUAAUUUUCUCAAAAUUAUCAUAUAAAAAUUAUAUUUAAUUAUUUAAUAAUAUUGACUUUUAUUUUACAGAUAUAACUUUCAUUUCAUAACAAUCAUGGCCUGAAUGCUAAAAUACCAAUGGGAACCUUAAUUGACAAAAACUAAGCCAGCUUUAAGGAUCCAAACCUGUCACAAACUGGCUCUAGUAUCAUUCAUAACAUUUUAUACCCAAAAUAUACUUAAAGAACCGAUGCCAUGGAGAAGAUUCCAAGCUCAGCUUAGUUAAGUUAGACUAUAAUUUAAUUAAGAAAUUUACCUAGACAUCCAUGGAGGAAAUAGGGAUUCCCAUGGUAUUUUUCCUUGCACGAACAUCCAAAAAGCCCACUUUCAUCAGGUCUACAAUGAGAUGUUGAUGUAAACUCUGGAGAUUUAUCCUUUUCUAACUUGCCAAAAGAUGAAUUGGGAAUCCUCCAAUCCAGUAUAACAGGUACUUGAUUCCAAUCUUGAACAGCUUCAGCACUCUUAAAAUUGCUUUCAAACCAUUCUUUUUCUACCAUAAAUGCAUAUUUGCAUUUCCCCUCCUCCUGGCUGCUGCUCCUGCUACUUGCUGCAUUAUUUAUAGAAAUAUUAAAACUUUUGAGAGCCCAAGGGACCCCUGCUUUGCAACACGCAAUUCCAUUGCAGCUAUCAUCAUCUGUCUUGUUUCUUGGAUCACAAAUAGAGAAGCAACCACCAAGAAUGAAGUCAUGAUCAGCUGAUGACAUUGAGGCAAGGUUGUUGCAGCCGAUGCCGGAGAAUAUAUUGUCAUAAUAUGAGAAGUAAAAAGGGAGCUUCUCCAGGUUUACAAAACUUGGUUCUUUAGUUUUAUCCUGACAAGAUCUGAUCACUGAUUGAUUUACUCUCAUUGUGCUCUUUUCAAGUAAGAAUUCAAGCACUUCCAGGUUGAUGCUUCUCAGGAUUGGCUUAUUGGAUCUGCAGUCUAUUGCAUAACGUUGAUCAAAGUAACAAUUUUCUCCAAUUCCGAAUGGAAAUGGAAUUGUAACAUUGUUUCCACAACUGUAUGGACAAUUUGGCUUCGUUAAAUGUGGU